Molecule: ribosomal RNA, 650 nt
Filed under: uncultured Gammaproteobacteria bacterium
Lineage: Bacteria; Pseudomonadati; Pseudomonadota; Gammaproteobacteria
Description: bacterial SSU rRNA
Rfam family: Bacterial small subunit ribosomal RNA
Source: RNAcentral
UGAGGCUCGAAAGCGUGGGAGCAAACAGGAUUAGAUACCCUGGUAGUCCACGCCGUAAACGAUGUCUACUAGUCGUUGGGUCCCUUGAGGACUUAGUGACGCAGCUAACGCAAUAAGUAGACCGCCUGGGGAGUACGGCCGCAAGGUUAAAACUCAAAUGAAUUGACGGGGGCCCGCACAAGCGGUGGAGCAUGUGGUUUAAUUCGAUGCAACGCGAAGAACCUUACCUGGUCUUGACAUAUCUAGAAUCCUGCAGAGAUGCGGGAGUGCCUUCGGGAAUUAGAAUACAGGUGCUGCAUGGCUGUCGUCAGCUCGUGUCGUGAGACGUUGGGUUAAGUCCCGCAACGAGCGCAACCCUUGUCCUUAGUUACCAGCGGGUUAAGCCGGGAACUCUAAGGAUACUGCCAGUGACAAACUGGAGGAAGGCGGGGACGACGUCAAGUCAUCAUGGCCCUUACGACCAGGGCUACACACGUGCUACAAUGGUAGGUACAGAGGGCAGCUACACAGCGAUGUGAUGCGAAUCUCAAAAAGCCUAUCGUAGUCCAGAUUGGAGUCUGCAACUCGACUCCAUGAAGUAGGAAUCGCUAGUAAUCGCGGAUCAGAAUGCCGCGGUGAAUACGUUCCCGGGCCUUGUACACACCGCCCGU